UCGGGAAUUUUGGGCAAUGGGCGAAAGCCUGACCCAGCAACGCCGCGUGAAGGAUGAAGUAUUUCGGUAUGUAAACUUCGAAAGAAUAGGAAGAAUAAAUGACGGUACUAUUUAUAAGGUCCGGCUAACUACGUGCCAGCAGCCGCGGUAAUACGUAGGGACCAAGCGUUGUUCGGAUUUACUGGGCGUAAAGGGCGCGUAGGCGGCAAUUCAAGUCAUCUGUGAAAUCUCCGGGCUUAACUCGGAACGGUCAGAUGAUACUGCUUUGCUAGAGUGCAGAAGGGGCAAUCGGAAUUCUUGGUGUAGCGGUGAAAUGCGUAGAUAUCAAGAGGAACACCUGAGGUGAAGACGGGUUGCUGGGCUGACACUGACGCUGAGGCGCGAAAGCCAGGGGAGCAAACGGGAUUAGAUACCCGUCUAGUCCCUGAGCGGGCUGGCAAGGCGCAU
Molecule: ribosomal RNA, 447 nt
Filed under: uncultured bacterium
Lineage: Bacteria
Description: bacterial SSU rRNA
Rfam family: Bacterial small subunit ribosomal RNA
Source: RNAcentral